GCUUAAGGAGAUAACGUGUAUCAUAGCCAGAGGUGUGUGGGGUCGUAUUGGUUCCUCAUACUAAAACGUAUAAAUAUCUCGUGAUUUCAAAUUUUAUUGUCUUUAAAUAUAUAUUUGAUAUUAUGCAUUAUUUAUUUGAAAAAAUGGAUUUCUGUAAAUUUAAGUUAUUUGUGAAGAUAUUACCCUGUGCUUUAUCAUGCUCGCAAAUUUUACGCUUGGAACAAGUACCAACUAUGAAGUUCUUAAUUAGACGCUGUGGAAAGAUUAAUAAUUGUACUUUCAAUCUAUUUUCCAAAGGAGAAAGCCAAAGAAGAAAUUUAGUCAAUGCUCACCGAGAUAUAGUGCCCGACAUCUUCCAAUCAUAGCAACCGCCAUUAGCAUCGUCUCUUAUUUUUUCCAAUCAUAGUCAAUGGAUUGUAGGAAUGAAAAGAUUAACCUCUAAGUGAAACUUCAUGUAUAGGGGAAUAUCUGACUGUUUUGCUAGCAAUACAAAAUAAAAAACAAUUGGUUGCGGCCAGAUUAUCUUUGCAUUUUGUCCCUUGGUAAGUGUUUAGUUGUAAAACAAGACAUAUUGUACUAAUGUUGGAAUCUUAUUGAGUUUGUGUAAGUGUGACUAAAUAUAAUGUAUAUUGAUGAUAUCUUGGCAAUGAAUACUCUUUCUCAACUCUUUUUGAUGCUCCUUUUGUUCCCAUCAUGAUUCUGUUGUUUGGUGAUUUCUCAAAUCAUUUUCUUGGUUUUGUUCUUGUUCUAGCUUUUAUUUGUUUAAGCUAUCAUGGGACAUCUUUUUUUAUUUUAACCCUUUUGAUCAUUUUUUCCUCAUGCUAGAUGGCUACCAAAGCACAUAGAAAUAUGGUAAUUUCUUCCUGACAAAGAAGAAAAUGGUUGACUUAAGAUAUGCAUGUUAGUAACUGUACUUCUUACUACAAUUUAAUUUGUUUGAUUGAAGCGUUUAUAAGGUUCCUAAGCAAGACACAGAGAGCAUCAUCCAGAAAGCUAAUUCUUUUGACUUUUGAAUCUUUGAAUACCUGUGCAUCAUGGCUAUGGUAAAAACUGGGUUCUAAAUUUCUUUUUUGCUUUUCAAAAUAGAAGAAAAUUGUGCCCAAGAUAAAGGUGCAAAGGUGCAACGGUUUAUGCAUAGGCGGUCUACUAUGAGAGAGAGGUAAACAAGAUUAAAGUGAUAAAUUAAAGUGAUAUUUUGGCCUCAAAUGCCAUUUUGAAAGACUGGAAGCAUAUGCAGUUUUUCACUCCCGAUUGUGUUUGAGUCUUGUAUCUCUUACUAUUUACAUUAAAAAAAGGAGCCUUCAUGGGUGUUAGUAGUUGAGAGAA
This is a non-coding RNA of Coffea arabica (coffee), 1326 nucleotides long. The record is from RefSeq and is a predicted model, not a curated record. NCBI's taxonomy places the organism in Eukaryota, Viridiplantae, Streptophyta, Magnoliopsida, Gentianales, Rubiaceae.